This 166-nucleotide unclassified non-coding RNA is filed under the name soil metagenome. RNAcentral describes it as "partial contains 5.8S ribosomal RNA, internal transcribed spacer 2, and large subunit ribosomal RNA". The record is from RNAcentral.
AACGCACGAGACCUGCGGACCUGCGGAGGGAUCAUUAGUGAACGCCCUCACGGGCUUACAACUAUUCCAAACCUCUGUGAACCGUGCCCUUCGGGGCUAUUUUACAAACAUGGUGUAAUGAACGUCAUAUAUCAUAACAAAACAAAACUUUCAACAAUGGAUCUCU